UGCGCAGUCGGCUGAUUAAGUUUGUGGUGAAAGUGCGGGGCUUAACUCCGUAUGGCCAUGAAAACUGGUUAGCUAGAGUGCAGAAGAGGGUAGUGGAAUUCCAUGUGUAGCGGUAAAAUGCGUAGAUAUAUGGAGGAACACCAGUGGCGAAGGCGGCUACCUGGUCUGUAACUGACGAUGAGGCACGAAAGCGUGGGGAGCAAAUA
Molecule: ribosomal RNA, 206 nt
Filed under: uncultured bacterium
Lineage: Bacteria
Description: partial 16S ribosomal RNA
Rfam family: Bacterial small subunit ribosomal RNA
Source: RNAcentral